UGCCCUCUCCAGCUCGUGCUCGCCCUCUCUCUCUCUCUAAAAUAAAAAAUAAAGACAUCAGUCAUAUUGGAGAAGGGCCCACCAUAAUGACCUCAUCUUAAUCACAUCUGCAAAGACCGUAUUUCCAAUAAGAUCACAUGCUGGGGUGCUGGGGGUUAGGACUUUAGCACAUAAUUGGCGGGGGGGGGGGGGACACAGCCCGUUGUGGACUGACUUGUGCCUCCCCAAGUUCAUAUGUUGGAUCCCCGACCCCCAAGGUGGCUAUAUUUGGAGUUAGGGCCUUGAAGGAGGCCUUUAAGGAUAAAUGAGGUCAUGAGAGUGAGGCCCUGAUCCUAUAGGGCCCAUGUCCUACUAAAAAAAUAAAAGAGACACCAGAGAUCUCUUUUUCCACGCACACACGGAGGAGGUGAGGUCACAGCAAGAGGGCGGUGUCUGCGAGCCGGGAAGAGAGUUCUCUCCGACAGCACCUUCCUCUCGGACUCCUGGCCUCCAGGGCUCUGAGAAAAUCGCUCUGUUGUUGAUGUCGCCCAGUCUGUGGCCUUCUGCUCUGCCUCCCGAGCAGGUUAAAACAGAAACCAUAACGGAGGCUUGUCUAUUAAAUCGUCUGUUUCCAGCGACAGAAUCUCAGCUUAAAUCCCCUUAAGCAAAAAGAAAAACUGAACAGUCCGAGAUCCGGUAACACAAGACCCAGGAUUUCCUCUGGCUCUUUCUCUCUCUCUUCUGCGUGUGCCCCUCCUGGCUCCUCUCCCUUCCUGGUGGUUCUGUCCCGGGAUAAGUCUCCUCACCGGCGCCUUCCAUAGGAGGUCAGGCCCGAGGCACCGAGAGACUCAGGCUUCACGGCAACACCCUGGGGGAGGGCAGGGUUGUCCCCCUAGAACACAGGGACUGACGGUGAAGUGCAGAGCUCAAAAAACAAAAGAUUGCAACAAUGAUGACAAAGGGACCCCGGAGUGACAGAAAGAGCUCCCAAUGCCAGCGGUGGAUCAAUCCGAACAACAAAGUAAAUAGCCUCAUAUUGGAUUAUAACCCAAAGUGAAAAAAAAAAAAAAGAAAGAUUCACAAGUUCACAUCGACAUAGAUGAUGGAACAAAUAAACGAAUGUGGGCAAAGAGACAGAUGUCCCGUGCAGAAGAGUUCCAGAUACUGGCUGCAGAUGUUCCACAUUGAAGGGGACGACUCCCCACACUAGUAUGGGCUUCAAGUGACUCCCUUCUGGAGGUGACAGUGUGGAUGCAGCGAGAUCCCGUAACCCCAGCAUAAUCGCGAGAAAGACACACGAGAAAGACACCCAGGAAAAACGCAGUUGGGGGACGUCUUACACAACAUUCAACCAGUCGUCGUCAAAACGUCACGGUCAGAACAACAAGGAAAGUCUAAGAAACUGUCACCACCAAGAGAAGCCUAAAGAGACAAGAUGACUGAAUGUAAUGUGGGUCCUGGAAGGUGUCCUGGAACAGGAAAAGGACAAUAGGGAAAAACUAACGGAAUCUGAAUGAAGUACGGAAUUUGGUCCAUAACAAUAUAUCAACACAGGCUCGAUAAAUGUGACAAAUGUACCAUAUCAUCAAUAGCAAGGGACACCGCGUGGAGUAUACAGGAACUCUCUGUACUAUCUUCAUAAUAAUUGAGUAGCUGUGAAAGUCCUCAAAUAAAAGGUUUAUUGAAAACUAAAUAAAAUUGGGAGGCGCCUGGGUGGUUGAGUCAGUUAAGCGUCCAAUUCUUGACUUCAGCUCAGGUCAUGGCCUCAUGAUCUCAUGCGUUGGGCUCCACACUGAACGUGGGGCCUGCUUAAGAUUCUCUCUCUGUCUCCCUCUUUCUCAAAAUAAAAUAAAUAAGUAAACAUUAAUCCUGAAUAAAAUUGGAACCAGGUCCUGUAAUGAAUGGUUAAUUCCAUGUCAACUUGACUGGCCACGUUAAACGUUAUUUCGUAGGGCGUCUGUGAGGGUGUUUCGGGAUGAGAUCAGCACUUGCCUCAGUGGACUCAGUUCAGCAGAUUGCUACCUGCCCCCAGUGUGGAUGGGCACUGAUGAAGCUGGACACAUGGAGCCCCUACAUUCUGAUGAGUCUUUUGUACCAGUAGAAGGGGUCUCCCCACCCCUCAGCGGCAUUGGCCUCUCCACCUAUAGAGGUAUCGGACUUCCCACCUGCAUCUGAGGGGAUUAACCAAAUAUUUUGUCGGGUGCUCACGAAGCAGAAGUUCUGUACUGAAUGUUGCAGCUUGAGAUGUUAGCAAGGGCCAUCACGGUUCGGACGGUUAAUGGGCUGAAACAUGGGCCAAAACGUGGCCAAAAACACGAAGUUAUUUGUGUCUCCUGUGAAUGCUCACCGAAAGUGACCUCAGCACUGAAGAAUUUUAAUAAGCAAGUACCUAGCUUUUGAUAAUGAAGGGGUGGUCAUUUUCCCCAGCCACCUCUGUCGUCACCAAUGGGCUUGUGAACAGAGCGGCCGUGGUGGCAGGGACGGAGAUGAUGCAUGGUCUGAGCAGCAUGGACUUCCACUCACCAAAGCUGAUCUGGCUACAGCCUGGCAGGGUGCCCAAUCUGCCAGCAACAGAGACCAACGCUGAGCCCCCGGUAUGGCACCGUUUCCUGGGAUGUUCAGCCAGCUGCUACCUGGUGGCAGGUUCAUUAAUUGGACCACUUUCACUGUGGAAGAGGCAGAGUUUCAUUCUUACUGGAAAAGACGUUUACUCUGGGUAUGGAUUUUCCUUCUUGCCACACAUUGCUUUAGCCAAAGCCACCAUCUGUGGACUUACAAAAUGCCUUCUCCACUGUCAUGGUACUCCACGCAUCAUUGCUUCUGGUCAAGGAAUUCCUUUCAAAGCAAAAGACGUGUUGCAAUGGCCCAUGUUCAUGGAAUCCAUUGGUCUUUCCAUGUUCCCCACUAUCCUGAGGCAGCCGGCUUGAGAGUGGGGUAGAAAGGCCCUGGGAAGACUUAGUUACAAGGCAACUAGGUGGUCGUACCUCACAGGGUUGGAACAAGGCUCUCCAGAAGGUUGUCUGUGCUCUGAAGAGCACCCACCAUGUGGUGCCAGUUCUCCCAUAGCCAGGAUCCGCAGAUCUGGGAAUCACGGUGUAGAAGUGGGAAAUGGCACCACUCACUAUUACCCCUAGUGACCCACAAACAAAAGUUUUACUUCCUGUUGCCUCAACUUGAUGUUCUGCUGGCCUAGAGGUCUUACUUCCAGAGGAAAGAAUCCUUCCACCGGCAGACACAACAAUGAUCCUGUUGAACCGGAAGUGAAGUCUGCUAUCCAGGCACUUUGGGCUCCUCAUGCCUCUGAAACAGCAGGCAAGGAAGGGAGAUAUGGUGUUGGCUGGGGUGACUGAUCCUGACCUCAAGGGGAAAUGAGGCCACUCCUCCACAGCGGAGGGAGGGAAGAGUAUGUUUGGAAAACAGGAGAUCCCUAAUGGCGUCUCCUAGUAUCACAUGCCCCGUGGUUAGUGUUCACGAGACUGCCACCACCCAAUCCAGGCAAGACUACGAGUGGCCCAGACCCUUCAGGAAUGAAGGCUUGGGUCACCCCACCAUAUAACAGACCAUGACCAGCUAAGGUGCUUGCUAAGGCAAAGGGAAUAAGAACGGGUAGUAGAAGGAAGUUGUUAUAAAUACCAGCCAUGACCACAUGACCAGUUACAGAGACAAGGACUGUGAUUGCCAUGAGUAUUUCCUCCUUAUUUUUCUAUGAAUGUGUAUGUGUGCGUACGUGUGUUCUUUCCUCUCUUAUUUCCUUGUCAUGUAACAUAAGACAUGUUGACUUUAUAUCAUAGUAUUUAAGUUUUGUUAAUUUUACAUCAUGGUAUUUAUGUCACAGAAGAUCAAGGAGAAGUGUAAACAUCACUCAAGGACUUUACCUCGUCUUCUGGGGAGGGAGUGGGAGUGUUUUCUGUUGUACACAGAAUAGCCGUAUCGCGUGGGCAGAAUCACGACCUUGUUCAUGUUUAUUUGGAGAUAAGUAUGGUUUAGGAGAUAGGUGCCAAUUCGACAAAGGAUAGACUUGUGAAGGUUAGUUUUAUGUGUCAGCUUGCCUGACCAUGGGGUGCCCAGAUGAAACAUUAUUUCUGAGUGUCUAAGAGGGUGUUUUGGGGUGAGAUUAGCAUCUGAAUCGGUGGACUCAGUAAAUUGCCCUCCAUAAUGUGGGUGCCCACCACCCGAUCCAUUGAUGGCCUGAAUAGAACAAAAGGUGGGAAAGGGAGGAAUUUCUCCCUUUUCUCCUGCUUCUUUGAGCCGAGACAUCUCCCCUCACCUCCUCUUGCCCUCAGACUGGGAUUUAUACCACUGGCUCGCCAGGUUUUCAGGCCUUCAGACUCUGAACCACACCACCAGCUUUUCGGGGUCUCCAGCGUGCGGACAGCAAACCGUGGGAUUUCUCAGCCUCCAAAACUGUGUCAGCCAAUUCUUCAUAAUAAAUCUCCCUUUAUAUCCAUAAACAUCCUCUUGCUUCCUGCUGGAGAACGCUGAGUGAUUCAGCUCCUUGAAGUAAUGUUGGGCAUUCGAGAAACGUGUCCCUACUAAACAAGCCUAAACUGCACACCGAAAUAAAUUCUGGAUUCUGGAUAGGUGGGGGAUUCAAAUAUAUAUGGAAAUUAAAUGAAACCAUAAAAGUACUAAAUGAAAAAUGGUGGUGAAUGUUUAUAUAAUCUUGAAAUCAAGAAGUUUUUCCUGAAUAACUCCAAAGGCAAAACCCAUAACAGAGAGCUUUUUUUUUUUUUUUAAGUAGGCUUCACAUCCAGCGUGGAGCCCCAUCACACCCAACGUGGAGCCCAACAUGGGGCUUGAACUCACAGCGCUGAGAUCAGGACCUGAGCUGAGACCAAGAGUCAAACGCUCAACUGACGGAGCCACCCAGAAGCCCCAAAAAGAUAGCUUUGAGUACAUGAGAUGUAAUCUCUGUAUGGCUGAUAAGAAAAAAUAAUACAGAUGCUAAUAAAAAAAAGCAAAUAAUUAUCUCAUAUUCACUCUAUUGAAUAAGAGUUGUUGUAAACAACUAUUGUUGUAAACCUUUUAUUAAAUCAUUCAGUCCCCAUAACGAGCCUACAAAGUGUUAAUACUAAUCCUAGCUAUAGAUGAAAAAACCAAGACUCUGGUAGGUGAAGGAACGUACCCAAAGUCACACAGCUAGGAAGUGAUAGGGCAUUGUGACCGCGCAUGUGCUCUUAACCACAACAGAGGCCUACACCGGAAAACCUGAGAACAUUUCUUGAACCAGAUACAAAAAGCAAAGAUUAAUAUCUUUGUGACGGUAAUACAUAUAUGCGCUCUUACCAACGAGAAAAAGACAAACACCUCAAUAGAAAAACAGGCAAAGGAAGUAAUGAAAAAAGGCAAUCCACACAGGAAGUAAUUCAGUCAAUGCCUGUUAAAAAAAAAAAAAAAAUCAACCCCACCAGUUAUCAAA
Molecule: long non-coding RNA, 5398 nt
Organism: Felis catus (domestic cat)
Lineage: Eukaryota; Metazoa; Chordata; Mammalia; Carnivora; Felidae
Exons: 2
Source: RefSeq, a predicted model, not a curated record